CGGUCCUGAAGAGAAACGGCCUCCCGCCCUGCCGGGAGCCCCCGGGCAGCCCCGCCUCCCCCCGGGGGCGAAGGGGCCAUGGCGGAGGCGGGGGGGGCGGCCGGGAGCCCCCCGGCGGGGCCGGGCUGCGGCGUGCAGGUGUCUGUCAUUGUGCCUGUUCACAAUAGUGAAUGCUGGUUAGAUGAGUGCCUGAAGUCUGUCUGGGAACAAGAUUUUAAACAAACGAUGGAGCUGUCAGUUUUUAAUGAUGCCAGCAAGGACAGUUCAGCUGAGAUCAUUGCAAAAUGGAAGAUGAAGUUGGAAGAUGCUGGUGUUCCAGUAAUCAUCGGUAGCAAUAAUUCAUCUCAACCUCGAGGAGUUGGAUUUGCUAAAAAUCAAGCAGUAAUACAGAGCUCGGGAGCCUAUCUUUGCUUUCUGGAUUCAGAUGAUGUGAUGAUGCCACAGCGGGUUAGACUGCAGUACGAAGCUGCCAUUCAACACCCAAACAGUAUUGUUGGUUGCCAAGUCAGAAGAGAGCCACCUAUGUCUACUGAACGGUACACUCGUUGGAUCAAUAAUCUGACUGAAGAACAGCUUCUUACACAGGUGUUUACCUCCCAUGGACCUACUGUGAUCAUGCCAACCUGGUUCUGUUCUCGAGAAUGGUUUUAUCACGUGGGAAAAUUUGAUGAGGGUGGAAAAGGUGUUCCAGAAGAUUUGUUAUUUUUUUACAAACACAUCCAAAAGGGUGGUGAAGUUGUUCGAGUAAACCAUUGCCUUCUGCUGUACCGAUACCAUCCACAGGCUGCAACUCAUUCUGUCCUAGAGGAAACCAUCUGGAAUCACCGAGUCAGGUUUCUUGAAGACAGAGUCCUGAGCUCCUGGACAUCUUUCACCAUUUGGAAUGCUGGCAAGCAAGGCAAGAAGCUCUACAGAAGCUUGUCACCAGCUAAUCGGAAAAAGGUAACUGCAUUUUGUGAUGUUGACGAAAAGAAAAUAACAAGAGGAUUCUAUACUUUUGAAGAAUCUGAGGAGAGACCAAAACCAAAAAUUCCAAUAUGUCACUUCAGAGAAGCAACUCCACCUUUCAUUAUCUGUGUGAAGCUGGAUUUAACAGGAGGAGCAUUUGAAACAAACUUGAAUAUGCUGAACUUGACAGAAGGGGUGGAUUAUUAUCAUUUUAACUAAAAACCAAGUGUACUUCGCAGCUCAUGCUGAGAAUCCAGUUUGUCAAGAUGCCGUAGCACAAACUCUUUCAGUCCUAAGGGCACCUGAACCAAGAGCUUCAGUUUGCAAAGCAACAGUCAGUGCCUGCAACUUUAUUGUGCUGAACUCUACAAGAGAAAGAAAAAAGAGGUCAUGUGGAGUAGCAUGUAUUUUACCAGCACAAUAUGUAAUUAAGUAAACUAAAUGGAGAAGAAAAUGUAGAAAUGUAAAGUUAAAUUUUUUACAAUCCUUUUUUAUCACUUUACGUUUUUAAUCAUCCAUCAGAUACGUGAGCUCUUAAAGAAGAGCAGUGUUAAGUACACUUGGUUGGGCACCAACCGGCUGCUAGCAGGGACAUUGGAGAGCUAGGAGAAGUCCUUCAAGUUCAGCAAAUAUCGCUCUGAGUGAACUCCAACAGUUCACAGGACAGGUUAUGUGCAAUACUGUGAGGCUGUACAUAUUCUUCAAGGACUGAGGCUUUGUUGCAGGUAAAUGAGCAUUUGCUUGCUAGAUUGAAUAUGUGCUGCUAAAGAAACUCUGAAAUCUGCUCUAAGAAUGCUAUUUAUAUUCUGCCUUCAGUUCUUCUUAUAAGGAAAUUCCUUCUCUCUAUUGCUGGAGUAAUUUCAUAAAGGAGAAAGUAGUUUGUCCUGUUGAAUUUCAUCACCUACAACUGAAAUAUUUCCUGCUGUUAUCCAUAAUUAAGUGUUUAAGAGAGGAACAUGGCAAGACCUAACUACUUUCCUUCACUGUUAUCUUGCUAACUGAGCCUCCACAUCUUUGAACUUCUCCCAGAAUGGAACAUCUCCCAGACUCCUAUCAAAGUAGAACAUUCUGUACUUCUUGAAGUACUGAGCAGAUGGGCACUUCCAAACCAUCUGCAUUGAAAUGAAAAAGGAUCUACACAGACCUAUCAUCUUUCUUGCUAUGAACGUGUUAACUCCAGAACAUAUUCUCCCUCUUAUGCAGUGUUAGAAUUGUGAGACUUGCACAUUUCAUGUUAUAAUUCUGCUGUUUAAAUUGACUGGGAAGCUUUUAUCCUUUUUUCUUUCUCCAGAAAGGGCAGACAAACAGUUUUUGAAACAUCUGUGCUGUAUUAUUUCAUUCUUCAAUUUUGUCUGAGUAAGAUGUCACACUACAAGUCUGGAAUGCUUUCAAGAAAUGGAACUGGAGUGGCUUAAGAGAACAGUCUUCAGCAAUUCCAUAUAUUCUGUAGUUAGCUGUGAGGACAUUUCUAGGUGUGCAUUUUAUAUAUUCAUGAACCUCUGAAGAACUGCAUCUGUUGCACGGAAGAUACACACUGUAUUAGUAGAACAACUGAUCAUUACAAAGAAAAAAGCUCAGGUGCACAUUUCCAUACUUUACCUUGGAUACUAGCUGUGGUUUGGGCACUUUCAUGAGAUCACAGAGGAGGUUGCGUUUCUCUCUUACUACUGUUAGUUCAGCUUCCCUGCAUGAGGAAAUACCUUCUAGUUAAUUCAAAAACAAAAGCAUGAAGUUGGCUGCAUGCAUACAACUGCUUAAGCUACCUGUUCACUACUAUAUCACUAUGCAGGUGUCUAUUCUUUCAAGUACAUUUCAAACUAGAAGUUCAUGUUGUGUUCUUAUUUUAAGAAUAAUGUAGCCUUUUCAUGGCAUUUGAAGCCAGAUAUACCAUAAAUACACAAGUCUUCAAGAACUGUCAGUUACUAGUAAAAUGAGUAAGACUAUUAUAUUUAAAAAACAAAACCAAAACAUUUUUUUCAUAGAAACUUCUUGAUUAGAAGUUCACAAACUUGUUCUCUAAAUUUAUAGCUUCUUUUUUGAUUUAGAAAAUAUCACAUCAAGAAUUAAACUAAAUGUCACUAGAUUUGGAAAACAUUCUGCUAUCUAGGAAAGCUUUCUCUUGAAGUAGAAAGGAUCAGACCAAAUGCUAGUGAGUAUUUUAAAAAGUUACUGAAAUAACGUGGUGUUUACAAAACAACUGUUGUUUUUCUUAAACAACUGUUGUUUUUCCUAAACAGCCAGUUACAAAAAGCUCCAAAAUGAUAAAAAUCCAAACACACAUCUCUUCCAUGUUGCAAGUAUCUAUCACUAACUGAAAUGCUGUGAUCCUGCUAAUAUUGCUCACUUAUUCAGUAGAUUUGUUUUUCUUAAGUGGUGAGUGUAAGUGAGCUAUUAAAAAUUAACUCUUAGCACAGAAACUGAUUCCAAAACUAUGGAGAAAAAGCACAAAGUAAAAAUUAAUUAAAAAUAACCUUGAAUAUACAUGUAUUUCCCUUUGGACACCUUGGACAACUUAGUCUUAGAAUCAUCUAGGUUGGAAAAGAUCUUCAAGAUCGUCAAGUCCAAUCAUCAAUCUGACCUACCAAGUCCCAUCACUAAAUCAUGUCAUUUGUCACAUUUAAUUUUGGAAACCUUCCUAUAGCUAAACAAAAAAUAUUAUUUAAUUUCUUUCAACUUGGAAUUACAGAAUCGUAUGAUAAACUCUUUGUAGUUCCAACAAAAAGAAUGUUUCAAAUAUGUGUAUUCCAGAAAUGACCGCCUUCCCCAAAUAUCUAAUACUCAUUAGGCUUCCUGAUGUUAAUGCUUAUUUUAAUUCUGAAAUUACCGUGAUUGCUUUAGCACUGAGAGCACUUGAAAAUAAUAAGCAGCUCUCUAUGACACUCAGCAAUGACUUCAAAUACCUUCUUUUGUAAACAGUUCAAAUCUAGUAUGACAAAACAAGAUUUAAGUAAAUUGGCUCUUCACCUUUACUCUCAGUGCAACGGAUAUGUUGCAACUGGGAACUUAGAGCAAGCCCUGAGCUAAAAGGGAACGAAACAAGUAGCCAGUCACACCUUAAAAAUUACAAGGUGAAAAAGAUUUAUUUUUGUCUGAAAUGGCUUAUAGGAAGUAAAUUUCCUUGUUUUCAUGAGUAACUCAUAUAUGAGUAGAACCCUCCUACUCUGUAGCAAUUUUGUCUGUUCCACUUCUAAUUUUGGUAUUGUAAACAUCCCUUUGUGACACCAGCAACCUAAUCCUUCUCAAUUAUUUGUUUUUUUUUUUUCUGUAGCAAAGAAACUUUUAACUUCUGAGCAAGCCUGCUCUUAGUUCAGAUUCCACAAGCAAGCAUUGAAUCACACUGGACAGAACGCUAACCAUCAAUACACACUUAAGCAAGUAAGCAGAAUAGUGGAUAACCAGUUCUUUCAAAUCUGAGACUGUUUUUCUAAUUUUGUCCUGAAAAAUUCAGAAAAAUGUGAAGCAGCCACCCCUUACAAUGACAAACCUUAAUUUUGUUUCCCAAGUAUAAAGUUAUUAAAGCUCAAGCACUGAAAUAAACUGAAAAUUAAAUACAAGUUAAAUGAUGUAAACAUGCAGUCUGAAAAUAUGUAAACCACAACAUUACAGUAGACUCAUUCUUUGAAGACAUCUCAGUUAAUUUCCAUGAAAUGUCAAUGAAGGAAAAAGCCACUUAAUACAACAAUUAGUAGGAUAUAUAUUUUUGAUAUCUGGCUGUUCUUAAAAACACUUUCUUAUGUAUUAACUUUGACUACUGUUUGAGACUGGGUGUUGGGCAAAUGGACCCAUGACCCAGUCAUCUGUAAUAAGGAAAAAUGUUUAAAAAAUAUUGAAAAGGGAAGCUAAACUAAUUAUCUUAAAGUUCUGUAUUUCCUCAAACGUCCAGGGCAUGCAGUCUUACAUAAACACUUCCAGUGACUGCAGAAAACAAGCAGACAAACAAAAAAGCCGAAAGUAGGCCUCCUCCUGUCACCUUAUGGAUUUAUUCAUUUAGCUUCUUUGAAGUAAGAAGUCUGCUAAAAACAAAACAAUACUCAGUGUCAGCACUCCAAAGGUGCUGGCAGAAUGAGCUCCUCCUGACAGUAAAAGAUAACCUUGCUGCUUUGUUGAAUUCUGCUCAGGAAGAAUGGGACACUUUCUCCUUGCCCUUGUAAGAAGGUAAUAUUAAUGGUAACAGCAGGUAAAUAAAUAAAUAAAUAAAUAACAUUAUAGAAAAAAGUAAAUGUCUAAACUGCUUCCAAUUAUAAUUUGCAGGGCUACAAAGAUAGUAGUUAUUUUGAGCAAUUAACAUUUCAUGGGAGAUUUGAUCUGUUUUUCUCCGGCUUGCACAGAUCCUUCCCAAAAUCCUGCCUGUAUUCAUAAAUGCCAAGAAAUUGUGCGAUUGAAGUCUGCCUGUUUGCACAGCUCAGUUUCUGUGUUCCAUGGAGAAUUUCCAAGAUCUCCUCCCUCUCUAUGUUGGUAGAAAAAUACAGAUAUUUUACUUUAGUGUUGGUAUUAUACAUAGCACUUCUAGUGGCACAAUAUAAUAGACCUUUAGAGGUCUCUUUUCACCAAUGGCCUAAAAGCUAUAACUAGCUAAAACUAAGGUAUUGCUCCAUUGCAGCUUCCUUGCCACCAGCCUUCAAAGACAUGGAUAUCUUGUUUCAACUUCAUUGGGACAAAAAUUAUUUCAGCUCUUACUAUUAUCUAAGAACAAAUUCACUUACCAGUUGGUAUCGCUGAGUAUGGUCAUAACCUCGUCCAUAAUGGCAGGAUCCACUACAUCGCUGUAGGUUAUCAACAUUUCAUAAACCUGACUGGCUGUUGUUUUCCGUAUCUACGUGGAAGAGGCAAGGGAAAAGCUUUAGUAAGUGUCUAGAGUCCUGCACAGAAGAGCCCAGUGGGCAUUUCCAUUCAUAUUUGUGCUGGCUGAUGGAGAAGGGAUGAGGGUCAGAGAAGAACCUUUUGAAAAAUAUUUCCUUUUCAGAUUUGUCCCUCAAAAGGAAUAAAUGCAAGCAGUCCUUAACGCUUUCCUCAUGGGAAGGUCUGCAAACAUUCCCAGAUAAAACUCCUGAACACCAAAGCCACAGAAAGCUGUUUAACGUAGUUGGCUGCCAUAGCAGCCGUCAAUCUGGGCUACUAGGUGAACACAGUGAACACAGACCCUCUCUCAAAAACUUCAUCAAGUCAAAAAUAAAAUAUUUCCAAGGCCUAAGAUUGCUAUCCCACAUAAGAUCUUUUCUUACACAUACUCAGAAGUAGUAACUCAUUUUUAUGCCAUUUCAAUUACUCACAUGAAAAAAGUAAAUUUCUGAUGAAUUUUCCUGACAAAAAGGGCAAAACUAGUUCUUGAACCAGAACCACAACUGUGUUGCUACUGUCGGAAAUGUUGCAAAACCAACAGUAAUUUAUCUGAUCGGAGCCCUCAGGACCUAAUGGUGAGCACAACUUCACAGUGCUGGGCUUUGCAUAAAAGAAAUAAACAAGGUAGGUAUCUAAAUUGCUUCUAAUGUAAAAGUAGGGAUGGAAGGUGAAAAAACAGUAUGCAGAAUAGCCAGCCAGGCAUUCUGCCAGCAUCCAGUAGCCUGUUUAAGGUGGCAGCAUUGCAGAGAGCAAACCCUUGAGAAAUAAAACCUAUUAUAUACAUUAAUAUCUCUUUCAGGUGCAUUAAAGCAGCAUUGCUAAGUUGUUGUUGUUGUUUAACUUCUAAUUAUUUUAAAUAGGAUUGUUGAUAAUAUACAAUAUCUUCCAUACUUACUACAGGAAAUGGAUGGCAAAGGAGGAGAAACAAUUGAAACAGAACUUUCUCUCUCAUGUCUCCUUCAAAUUGAAUCAGGCCACAAAACCUAGAAAACAUACAAAAAUAUAGACAAAAAAAAAUCUUGAGUGAUAUCUCUUGAUAUUAUCACUGCAGAAGUACAUUUUGUGGAUCAGAGUGAAGAUGUGUAUUAGAAAAAAUGAUGGGGAGAGAGGAGGAAGCUUUGCUGCUCCUGAGAAAUCUCAGCUGAUAUUCUGUGUUGUGGGAAAGCAAACACUGAGGGUAAGUGUACUGAAAUUCUUAAGGGUUACCGAGAUGCCACACACUUAUGCCAAAUACAAAUAUGGUUUUAAAGCUAUUGACAGCAGCACCAAAGUCUGUGCACUAAAAAAACCCAACACAUUCUGGAUCAAGCUCUCCCAUAGAAAACAAAAGCUGAAGGUAGGAUCUUGUAUGACGCAGGUAAGAGUGAAAUAAAAAUAGAAGGCAUGGGUUACUUUUCAUUUUAGGCUUUCCUGCACUCUCAGAAUAGUGCCAAAAAAAUAAUUAAAUCAAUAAAGUCAUUACUUGAAACAGUUAUACCUCAAUAAUUCUGCCAAUGAACAUUUCAUUCAGCUUUGCAAUACUUUGACUUUUUUUUUCCUCCUCACCCAGUAUUGUUUUUCCUGACUGAAACAUUUUUGGUUUGAUCUCUCUGCUAUCCAAAAUGAGUUAGGUUGUUUUUUUUUUUUUCUUUCCUAAAAUAGAUAAUAAUUUUGCUGGUGUUUUAAACUAUUUCUAGUGUAACUGUUAAGGUUUACUCAAUUACAUAUAUUUUUUACUGUCAGUAUGUGUGAGUCAAGCUCUGCAAGCAAAAAGCAAAUGACUGAAUGCAUCUUUAAGAAUGUCAAUAACAGUUCAAAAUUAGUUAUUUGUCAACAACAGUUCAAAAUUAAUUUUUUUUCAGAUCUUUCACGUUUUCACCUCAACCACACAGAAGAUACACAUAAAACUCACACAACCUUAUGUUACAUGUAUCUGCGUGCAUUUUUCAUUUAUGUUUCACAUCAAAUAGACUUAGUAUGUUCUGUAGUUAAAUUUUCUUCACUCCUUACAAACAGACAAAAGAUUACUUUCUUUGUUUAUUUCAUCAACUCACACUCCUAUGCUAGAGCGAAGUUUCCGGAUGUCUUUGGAUCUUUUGAUCUCUUCUUUACAAAGGUUAAAUAGCUUCACUGGAAAUGGAUGGCUGGAAAUGGGAAGGAAAAAAAAGGAUAUGAAAUAGAUUUAAGCAGAAUUUUAAACACAUUUGAUGAUUGUAAAGAUGCCAAAUUAACAUUCAAAAGAGAGGAAAGAUACUACCCAGAACUGUUUGUGAAUACUUUUUCCAGAGCAGCACACCCUGCUUUAGGUGGACUUUUGGUAAAGACACAGGCUACUUUGGCUACCACUUGUGAACAUUAUUUUAAUUUUUUAUGGAAGCAAAGAAAUUAGUAUUAAUUGUUGGUAUUCCUACUACCUGUGUGCUGAGGAGUGAACUACCUUUAUCCAAAGUGAGUCAGUAUCUGCAUGGUAAUCAGCUAGCCACAGCUUGCAUUUACAGCAAAGUAUGGUACAAUCUGAAAUACUAUGCCAGGAAUUAGAACAUUCUAUAACCAAAUAAAAAUUAUUCAGUUUACGGAACAUUGUAGUGCCUUGGUGGUUCCAUAAGGCCUUCAAUCAAACUUGGCACAAAAGGGGAUAGACACUGUUCUUACAUACUCUACCAUCUCACAGCCUGGAUUCCUUAGUGAUGCCAGACAACAUAAUUAAACCCAGCGCUUACAGUUCUGUUAAGUGUACAAGUCAUGAAGCCAUCUUUAAAUAUAUUGAGCAAAUUCUUCUUUUUCUACAGUCUGGGAAAUACCAUUCUUACAGCUUUCCCAGAUACUCAUACAAACACAAGUAUUGUUAUGAUAUUUCAAGGAUCUAGUAAAGAGGGAAUGUUACUUUUAUUUCAGAACAAAUUAUUUAAUCUUUUACUCAUUACACUCAAAGCUGAAGUGCCAUAGAUGCAGAAGAAACUAUUUUAUAUCUGUCUAGUGCACACAAUUACUUCUAGAAUGCGUAUUUUGGAAAUUUCACUGUAUUGUGUAUGAAAAACAGAAAGCAGAAAUCCUAACAUUUAUUUUCUGCUACUGUGAUUCAAAACUGUGGAUAUAAAUUAUUGGAAAAAAACUGUCACGUAAUCUGUUGAAAAAUACAACAUUUAAAAUGAAUUAAGAUGGUUACAGGACAAAAUGUUUUGUCAAGUUAAUGCACCUUAUUAUACGUAGUUUUCCAGACAAGAGAGUUUUUGUUUUGUUUUUACUAGACUAAAAAAAAAA
This is an RNA transcript of Anas platyrhynchos (mallard), 9027 nucleotides long. It is a transcript of the gene named UDP-GlcNAc:betaGal beta-1,3-N-acetylglucosaminyltransferase like 1, with no coding region annotated. The record is from RefSeq and is a predicted model, not a curated record. Lineage: Eukaryota; Metazoa; Chordata; Aves; Anseriformes; Anatidae.